UUGGAGAAUCGCUUGUAAACUGCACAAACUUAAAACUGGUUUCUGCUCUUUUCAGAGGGGAAGAAACAGCACUGAUUUUCUCAUUCUGGUGAAAGCAUGGGGUGGAAGUAUUGAAGAGGAAGCUGGGCCUGCGUCUUGCAUAUUCCUGGCAGAAUAUUCAUUGAAGAUUAAUGCAUUGCAUGUAAUCAUGCCUUGUAAAAGAUGAAUUGUAUAGACAAUUUGACCAUAGUAAGAAGUUCAUCUUCUUUUUUUUGCCCUUUCCUUGCUAAUACUGUAAUUAAAACUUAAAACAAAAAGGACUCAAGAAACAAAGAAGGCCAGGGGUUCCCCUUAUUUGCAUCUUCAAUAUUUAGCAACGAUACAACAAGAGCAACUUCAACUUACCGACCAAAAACAAAACAAGAAAAACCAUCUUGGUUUUUUUUUCUUGGGUCUGAAAGUGUUACGACUUUAUUGACGCUUUUUCAUUUCUCGAGGAAACUUUGCAGUAAGGCUCUCUCCAUCCAAACCUUUGGUUACCUAUAAUCCCCCUUCAGAGAUGAGCAUAGUAUAG
This 553-nucleotide long non-coding RNA is filed under the name Prunus persica (peach). Its description in RNAcentral is "long non-coding RNA (PPER_LNC002894)". The record is from RNAcentral. Lineage: Eukaryota; Viridiplantae; Streptophyta; Magnoliopsida; Rosales; Rosaceae.